GGAGCGGGGAGUAGAACUGCCGGCGUUCAAAUCUUCCGCCUCCCCCACCCGCCCUUCACCCAGCGGUCCCGGCGCGGCGGCGGCGUGAGGUUCCGGCGCCUUCCCCAGCAGCCACUGGCGACGGAGUCCCCGAGGAGAUUUCUCUGUGGAGGAGUUAACAGUGAAGAGGCCUCUGCCUUAACUUUUGUAAAAAGUGGGAAAAUGGCAUCAGAGGACAUCACUAAGCUUGCAGAGUCACUUGCCAAAACCAAAGUGGGUGGUGGACAGUUGAGCUUCAAAGGCCAGGGCCUUAAACUCAACACAGCUGAAGACGCUAAAGAAGUGAUCAAGCAAAUUGAGGAAUUUGACGGCCUGGAAGCCUUGCGCCUGGAAGGCAACACAGUGGGUGUGGAGGCAGCAAAGGUUAUUGCCAAAGCCUUGGAGAAGAAAAGUGAGCUCAAGAGGUGUCAUUGGAGUGACAUGUUCACAGGCAGGCUAAGGUCUGAGAUCCCUCCUGCUUUGAUCUCUUUGGGGGAUGCACUCAUAGCUGCUGGAGCCCAGUUGGUGGAGUUGGACUUGAGUGACAAUGCCUUUGGGCCAGAUGGUGUGCGUGGCUUUGAGGCUCUGCUGAAGAGCCCUGCAUGCUACACUCUGCAGGAACUCAAGCUUAAUAACUGUGGCAUGGGCAUUGGUGGUGGCAAGAUAUUGGCAGCUGCUCUGAAAGAGUGUCACAGGAAAUCAAUUGCCCAGGGCAAGCGUCUUGCUUUAAAAAUAUUUGUGGCUGGCAGAAAUCGUCUGGAGAAUGAUGGUGCCACUGCCCUGGCUGAAGCCUUUGGGAUCAUUGGGACUCUAGAAGAGGUCCAUAUGCCACAGAAUGGAAUUAACCAUCCUGGCAUUACAGCACUGGCACAGGCCUUUGCUGUCAACCCACUGCUUAAGGUUAUAAACUUGAAUGACAAUACCUUCACAGAGAAAGGAGCUGUGGCCAUGGCAGAGACUCUAAAGGCACUUCGACAGAUUGAAGUGAUCAACUUUGGGGAUUGCCUGGUGCGUUCUAAGGGUGCUGUUGCUAUUGCUGAUGCUGUUAAAGAAGGGCUUCAUAAACUAAAGGAACUGAAUUUGUCUUUCUGUGAGAUCAAACGAGAUGCUGCUCUGACUGUUGCUGAAGCUAUUGAAGAUAAGAGAGAGCUGGAGAAAUUGGAUCUCAAUGGUAACUGUCUGGGAGAAGAGGUGUGUGAGCAACUCCAUGAGAUCCUUGAAGGCUUCAAUAUGGCAUCAGUGCUGGGGUCUUUGAGUGAUGAUGAAGGAGAUGAGGAUGAUGAUGAGGAAGAGGAAGAUGAAGAGGAGGAGGAAGAAGAGCAACAGCUGAAGGAGAGAGGAGUGGAAGAACAGGAGUCACUGACUCCGAAGAAGAUACUUGAUUCACAGGCUUCGACUCCAGUGCCAUCUCCUCCUGUGGAUGUUGCCACGUUCCUUGCUUUUCCAUCACCAGAGAAGCUGCUGCGAUUAGGACCAAAGUGCUCUGUGCUGAUAGCUCAGCAGACAGAUAUAUCUGAUGUAGAGAAAGUAGUUGCAACCCUCCUAAGGAUAUCCUCAGUCUUCAAAGAUGAAGCCUCAGUGAAAGCAGCAGUGCAUGAAACAGCAGAUGCCUUGAUGAAAAAAGCCUUCAGUUCUGCCACAUUUAAUUCAGAUGCAUUCAUCACAAACCUCUUGGUCCACAUGGGACUACUUAAGAGUGAAGAGAAGAUCAAAACUGUUCCAAGUCUCUAUGGUAUUCUUAUGACCUUGAACCAUAUGGUCCAGCAGGAUUAUUUCCCUAAAUCCCUGGUCCCAGUUCUCACAGCUUUUGUUACAAAGUUUAAGCCAGAAGUACCAGGACUUGCCAUGUGAAAUUACCCAGACAUAUCACUGAACUUCUGCUGUUUCCUGCACUCCUGCCUUACUCUUGCUUGUUGGUCAAGCCCCAGCCCUCAUAAUGGAAUUUAAAUUGGUGGAAGCUGAGAACACAGAAGAAAGACUUUGGUUCAGGGCCUUUGACUGUCCUAAUUGUGCAUGUCAGACCUAACCGUGCUCUUGACUCCUGUUCAUUUGCUCGCCACAUGCUCUUACAGACCCUCCACCAGCUGUAAGAGCCAAGAGAUGUGCCCUUCUUUCCUCACAGGACUAUCAUCAGCAGAGAACUUGGAGCCACAUAGUGGGAGAGGAUCCCAGAGCCCAUAAAGACAUGCUGUCCUUUUUUUUUUCCUGUAGGAACUCUGUCCUUCCUUCUGCUUUCAUAAACAAAUCCUGCUGAAUUGUCUUCCUACUCCUCUUGAAGUGAUUCUCUGGUCUGUAGGGCAGGUGUUUACGCUAAAAUAAGUCUGUACUGCUGUGAGCUCAGCAUGAAUUGAAGCAUUCUCCAUUUUGGUUGCAUUUGCAAGAGUGCCAAGACUAACACAGGGUCCAGAAGAGCUCUCAUCUGGAUCACCGCAGCUGGGCAUUUUAUUGGACUUUGACUCUUGCCUUAUAGCAUUUAGCACUGUGUCAGAGGGAGGCUGUGCUACUGCCGCUGCCCUGCUUCUCUGGGUCAUGGGGGUGCUGCUUAUGGAUCAGAGGGAUGAGGUGUGAUUCCCUUUGGUUCUUCUUUCAAGCUUGUUGUCAAAGGCAGUGUAUAGCUGAUUUUUAUUUUAAUAUACUCUUCCCCUUCUGCUGUGACUUGGAAUAUUUGUGUCAUGUGGCUGUUGCUGAUCCUGGUGGCUGUUGCUUAAGGGAGUGAGCAUAUUUUAUUGUCAUUUUUUUUCUUGCCAUUGCCUGUAUUGUUUAUUCUUCUUGCCCUUUUCCUUCUCACCAUAAUUAAAUAGGCUUGGUUUGAAAAUUAAUACAAUCCAUUAAAUCCCUGUGGAAUCCCUUUCUCUUCCCUUUAAAAAAACGCUGGGCCUGUGUGCACUGUUCACAUGUUUGAAAGCCAAGCACAUGUAAGAAUAUGUAAAGAGAAGGCUGUGCUUUUCUCUUGCACUGAACAGGUAGCAGCAGAUGCUGCUAAAUCUAUCUGGAAGAUUGACCAUGUGCCCGUAUGUGCCUUCAAACCACUGUGAUGUUCCUCCAUACAAUUUACAUGUUUAUGUCUAUUGCCUGAACUGUUAUGUAAAUUAAAAUUAAGUCCACAGCCUUAUCAUGAUUUAUAACACCUACACUUCGAUUUGGAAGCCUGUUUUGCAGAGGAACACAAAAUGGGACUGGGAAUGGAGCCUGGUUUGUGUGAAGAGAGAGGCAGUAGUAAAGUGAGGAACCCAAGCUAUCAAGUCUCAAACCUUGUUUCUGCAGCAUCCUGUUUCUUUUCUUGGUGGUUUCCUGCUCCUGUCCAAAACAGGAACAUGGCAGAGGAGCAGGUUUCCCUCCAGGCAUCUUCCUAGCACAGUUUAAAUAGGAAAAGCAGUGCCAACGCUUAGGAGCACUAUCCUGCUGCUCAGCUGUAAGUACUGUGAGGUGAACAUUAAACUUGUUUAAUGAGGUAAAUUUAAGUACUUUGUCCAAUUAGCUAAAGAAACAGGCUGGAAUUCACAGGAACCUGUGAGCUUUCCUUAAGAAUGAUUGGACUAAAAACUCUAUCACAAGUCUUGCUGGUGUGAUCUCAUGCACAGCCAAGAUUUGGCCAGCCCAUGUCUUGCUGGAUUUCUGUCUGGAAAGCUGUGACGUGAUGCUUUGAUCAUUUGAAUGCUGAUUUUUCUCGCCCUCUUACCAAAUUGCAUGGAGUAGUUAUUGAGUUUUGCAGUGGUUGUGAGAAAAUAAAUGUAAUCAAAGGGCCAGAUCUAUUAGGCAGAGCUCCAUGGACUUGCUUGUACUGCCCCAGCAUUCAUAAAGUUCAGAUGGUUACAGACUCGUGAGACCAACAUGACAUUUAGGGCUUUGGCCAGAUUCCAAAUUGGUGUGGUCCAUCUUGAUUUUCUUCAGAAUUGGGGCUUAUUAGCUUAUAUCUGCUUGUCCUUUGUAAAUAUGUAAAAUAAUCUUUUUAGAUGUCGCCUACUUAGCAAACCAGAACACUCAGCUUGCCAAAAUGUGCUUUGCUCUUACAGCACAGUGGCUUUGUACGGAGUCCUCCCCCUGUGAUUUUGAACAUCUACAACUUUUAUAGUGUACUGGGGUUGUGGGUGCAAAGCUCACAAUCAGAUGAGGAAAAUUGAAGCUCCAGUUCAGAUUCUAAGGCUGCAGACGAAGAUUUUUUUUCUCCAGACAGAAACAGAGAGCAGUGAGGAUGUUGUGACAUAUUCUAUAGGACAGCAACACCACUCUUAUGGGCCUAAUAUUCUUGAUUAAAGCAAAAUCAUUUUAGAUUAAUUUUGGCUUGUUGGAACUGUCAGAGUGCCUUACUCUUCCAUAAUUUAAUUUACCUUCCUGAGGAAAGAAGCCUUUGAAUCCAGCAGCUGACAGGAAACACAGCUAGUGAUGAUUAUUUGUAUAAUCUAAAAGUACUUUAUAUUCCUUUAAUUUGGGAAAACUUGCACUCUUUGUCUGUGUCUCUGAGUUCAGCUGAACAGCAGCCAAACUGUAUCACUCAAUUAUUUCAUUAGUCUUUUAGAAAAAGCAAGAGAGCAAGGCUGAAGUAAGAGAGACUUCAUUUCAGGAGUGGAAAAAGGGUUUCUAUGUGCUCUGAGAUAGAGCUGGAAAACCUGACUUUCAAAUUAAUCUAAGAAACACAAAAAAUAUUUAAUAUUCCUGACUCUGUAGGAUGAGCAGGAGCAAAAGAAGAAAAAAAAUUAUGGGUAGAAUUCUUUAGCUCAAUAAUACCUUUGGAGGAAUGUUUGUUUAAAAUGUCAUCUCUGACUUCUUGCAAGCCUAUGAAACUAACAGAGGUUCUGAGUCUUAAAAUACUUCAAAUGCUGAAAAAAGAAAAGGCAUAAAUGGGAAAUUCAAUUUCAUCAAACUUUCCAAAAUCAUGCUAUCAGGUAAUUAUUUAGUCUUUUCAUUAAAUCACAGAAUCCCAGAAUGGUUUGGGUGGAAGGAACAUCAAAGCUCAUCUCAUGUCCCUCAUGGGCAGGGACACCUUCCACUAUCCCAGGUUGCUCCAAGCCCUGUCCAGCCUGGCCUUGGACACUUCCAGGAAUCAUGGGGCAGCCACAGCUUCUCUGGUCAACCUAUUCCAGGGCCUCACUACCCUUACAGGGAAGAAUUUUUUGUCUUGAAGAAAAAUUACCCAGCUGAUGAAAGUUUUUCACAGUUUCCCUUUUUAAAGCAACAGGGAAAAUCUCGCCUAGGAAACUAAAAAUUCCUCUUUAAAAUGUCUCAAUUUAUACUUUGAGUGAAUGUAGGAUCUGUGGCAGUGCCACACUUCUUUUCACAAAGGACUUUUAUUUUCAGGGAAAGAUUCAUAUUUAUGACUACCCCUUUUAAGAAGUAGAAAAUUGGAAAAAAUUUGUAGUUAUAAAUCAGGGUUAUUUUACCUAAAAUUUAUAUUGAACAAGCUAUGAAAUAAUAAACUUGAACAUUGUCCUAUACUCACCUACCUCAAAAAACAUUAUUUACCGUUCGUAGCCGUCAAAUCCCAUCUCAGAGUUUUGGGAGGGAUACCCAUUCUUCAGUGGUCUGCUGCAAUCCAGAACUGUCCACAUGGUGUGACUCAGCUUUUAAAGGUAAUAACAACAUGGUUUUGUCUGUCUUGAAAGAAAAGAUAUUUUUUGGGGGGUUGUGGUGUUAGUAGCAUUUGGUUUUUUUCUGAAGGGUGGCAGUGAUGGAUAUUUUUUAAUAUUGAUUGUAGAUGGUGAGUCUCAUUUUUUCUGAAGAAACCCCCCUCUAUCCUAGAUCUCCCAUUUAGAUCUCAAAGUGCUGAACAAAGGUGGAUUCCACUUCGGUUUUGACUUGGCUUUGCCUGUUGCUUUCAGGGAACAUAAAACAUGUUUCUUGUUUUAUGUUUUACUAACUCCUUCCUGAUUUAUGUAAAUAACUUGUAUCUCUCCUUCCCUGGCUUUGCUGGCUGCCUCUGUUCUGCUGCUGAUUUUAAUUUAGGGUGCUAACUCUUCAAUUUCAAAGCCUGUUUACUUGAGGGUCAGUAGAGCUCCCAAUGAAUACAAUCUUGCUUAAACUUGGCCUCUUGGCACUCCUGUAAUCCAGGAAUAAAAGGGGAGUAAAGUUCUAAUUUGAGACUUUGGUUUCUUUAAAUUGCUAAUACAUACUUCCCAGGUACUACAAUAUCCCGAAAGGCUGGGUUUAUGAGCGUGAGUUCUCUUUGCUCCUUGUAUUUGUUGGGAUUUAAAUUUGUUCCUUGCAUUUGUCAGGCCUUUUAAAAGGUUGGAUAAAUUCCUAAAGUGGGCACUGUAUAAUUGGUGUCAAAAUCAGCUCCUCUGAUCUCAAACAGAUGAGAUUUGUUUUUCCAAGCUCAGCUAAACAUGUUCAGUAACUGCUGCCACAAGCUGCUACUCCAGUGGGCUCUGGGAGUGCAGGGAUUGUUCGUGUCUUCUGGUGGGAUAGCAAAGGCCAAAAAUAACAGUGGCUCUGUCCCCUGAGGCAUAUUCAAGUUUAGAUCCCUCUGACACCCAAUGGUGUAAUUCCGCUGCUUAUACAAAAUGUCUAAAAGUCAACACACCUUUGCCCAUCAUGAAAUUUAUCCUGCAUUUUUCCAAAAUGUGAUUAUUUACUGAAGUGGGCUGUUCUCAUGUUGGAAUUUUUUUCAGCCUUUGUGCCUAAGUAAUGAAAUAUGUGGAGUUUAUUUUACUGAAAAGAAUACUUAUGGUACAUAGUGAAAGCAUUUGGCUUCUGACUGUUGGCUCUCAUUCCAAUAGUUCAAUCAUGAGGUGGUUGAGGAUUUAUAGUUCUUAGACGUUCUUUAGGAAUGAACACAUCCACUGAAAAAACAAACAGCUGUUCUGCUCGUAGGCAAUUCAUAGCAAUUUUUAAGCUAGAAGAAACCUGUCAUCUCAUACUACAGGCUGAAAACACUGCAUGGCAAUGGAAUUUGGUUGGGAUGCCGUCAUACUCUGAGGAAACUGAGAUCACAGCAUCCAGGUACUCCUGAGCUGGGAAAGGCUCAGUUAUGUGUCCUAAGGAAUUACACAACUUUUUCUUCUCUCAUCUUCUAAUAGCACAUACACAAACAGGGUCAAAAAGAUUUUUUUUUUUUUUAAAUAGUACACACGACUUGUUCUUCAGUUCAAUUAAAAUAGUUAAUUCCACCGGGCUUGGAAUACAUCAUUUCAUAGGAAGCAGAAACUCAGGUCUACUUUCAGCAAGAUGUUUCUAAAUUUUAAAUCAUAGAUUUAAAUUAGAAGUUGGUGUUUUUUAAAUAUACCACACUUCAUUGCCUGUAAUUUAAGUGUAUGUUUACAUCACUCUGGGAUGCACAGUGAAAUCCAGCCUGGGUUUGAUGUCACUACAAGACAGAGAACCCAUUACCUUUCCUGUGAAGCUGUGUGACUCCUGAGAUGUUUCCUGGCCUCAGGAUUAAUGCUGGGUUCAGUACAUGUCAAUUAAUUUUAAAUAGACCUUUUCUCACAUAAGACUGUGUCUUGCCACUGCGGGUUAUAGAGGAUGGCAGUGCACCUCUGUUAGCAGCCUGUCUGGCUCUAAGUAAGUACUGCUGUGCCAUGCAAGAGCCAUAGAUUUGCAGGGGAGGCAAAGGAAAUACCUUUAUGACCUCAUGCUAUCCAUUUAUACUCUGAGUCAUUAAAAUGACUGCUUCUUAUAAAAGUUAUCUUUGCUGGCAGAGGAGUAUGUGGGCAAAUGCUCCCUCUGACAAUCACUGUGCUUUGGAUUAGACUCAAAACACACGUAUUAUUUAAACUUAACUUUCCUUUCCUCCUACUGAAUGAUUUGCCCCCAAAAGAAAACAUCUGACUCUCCAUGAAACUGCAGGUGAUGGUGAAAUUGCUGUCAAGCACUGCAGGUCCAGUGUACUCCUCAGGUUAAUUGUAAAUUACUCUGGAACCUGCCAUGCAGGGAUGAGAUUUUGUUCCACCUGUGGCCCACCAAUGGAUUUGGAACAAGAGUCUACUGUCAGUAGAUCAUAUGUAUUGCACAGUAUUCUUUCCAUCAGUGGAAAAAUUUAGGGGAUCUAUAAAUCAAAGAAAGAUUUGACAGUGCUUCACUGUGUCCAAAUAUUCAGCAUCUAAACAAGUUGCCUUUCUGUUUGUCAGUUCUAGUUAUAGAGUAACUUAUAGUUGACUGUAACGUAUUUCUGUGAGUGUUAAGGGACUUACUGAAGGAAAAUGAAGAGCAGUGGAAGGGUAGAAUGAAGGACAGAUGAAUUUCAUAAAGCUGUGGUUCAGCUCAUGCACACAUGUUUAGUUUUUCUUUCAGUGGAAAUGAAGUUACAGGAGGGAGCUGAUUCAGAACAGAUGUCACUGUGAUGUGGCAGUAAGGACUGAAGUCCCUAAUCAAGGAAGUAGGAAUUGCUCCCAGGUCAUGCAGUUUAAAUUAGAAUAAAAUAUAUCUUGCUGUUGCAGUUAAGAUAGCAAAUUCCACCAGUUCAUCCAGUUAAAUCCACUUUUGCUCAAACUCUGGAGCAGACUGUGUGUCAUUAAUAUUUCUCAAUUAUUUCAUUUCACUUAACCACAUUUUGCUAGUCAGUAUUUGUUUUUGCAACUGUAGUGAUGAAAUAUAUUUAUUGGCUAUAUUAGCAGGUGCCUGGCUUGGUCAGAUUUCAAUAGUUCAGAACAUCUCCUGUCCAUAACACUAAUAAUUGAAAUUUUUAAAAAAUUGUUCUGUUAUCAAAUCAGAGAUAUCUAAAUUUGGGAUUGGCUAAGAAGAAUGAGACUAUUUAUCCAAUUCAAUAUUUCCACCAGUAUCUUGCUAAUAAUUUUGUCUGAUUUUUUAGAUUGUUGUCAUUUGGUAACUGUAGUUCAUAUUUCCAUUGAAUUUGUAUCUUCUGCUGUAGGACAAUAUAAGUUUAAUCUAUUUUUAUAUUGUUACAUGACAUCACAUACUUACUUGUCCUAGGUUACAGUGUAAGAUGUGCCCAAAGUAUGUAUUCUAUCACUCUUAUGAGAAAUGAGGUUGGGCAGUGUUUCUCUUGCCCCCUCCCUCCGGACUGUCUUCUGUUAAUGGCCCAUCAAAGCCCUGCUGCAUGACUCAUAGGUAACUCCCUCUGGGAGCUAUCUCUGUUUAAUGGGUAAUCAAGGACCCAUUGCAAGACUGAUAAAAUGAUAUCAGCCCAUUGUGAGAUGCUCUGCCCAGGGGGAGGAGCCAAGCAUUCCCACCUGGAUAUAAUCUGGGAUUUGGGACAGCACAGGGAGCCUUACCCACUGGAUUCCCAGAGGACAAGAGCUACCAGACCUUUCUGCGGGAUCACUGCUUCAACAAGACCACUUCAUCUAGACUGCUACCACCACAGUGUCAGGUUGUAUUCUGACUCUGUCAGUGUUCUUUUGUACUAUUGCAUUUAUUUUAUUUUACUUUUUUUUUUCCUAUUAAAUUGUUUUUGAGUCUCUCACUGGUUUUGCUUUCAAGCCAGCACAUUACUGUACUGACAAUUGAUACUUAGAAUAUAUUUAUUGGCUAAUUUUCAAGCUAGCACUGUCCUUCAGUGCUGUUGGAAAUAUCCUUAUAACCAAAGAAUUCUGAGGUUCAGAAAAGUUGCCUUCAUUACAAAAUCCAAUUACCCCCUGUGAUAUGUGACCUAAAGUUAAUUCAUGUUCGGUAUUGUGAUAUGUAAUAUAAAGUUAAUUCGCGUUCGGUCUGAA
This is an RNA transcript of Hirundo rustica (Barn swallow), 9626 nucleotides long. It is a transcript of the gene named Ran GTPase activating protein 1, with no coding region annotated. NCBI's taxonomy places the organism in Eukaryota, Metazoa, Chordata, Aves, Passeriformes, Hirundinidae. The transcript has 18 exons. The record is from RefSeq and is a predicted model, not a curated record.